Molecule: long non-coding RNA, 2153 nt
Filed under: Olea europaea (common olive)
Lineage: Eukaryota; Viridiplantae; Streptophyta; Magnoliopsida; Lamiales; Oleaceae
Description: long non-coding RNA (OEUR_LNC001875)
Source: RNAcentral
AACAGCCCCAGCUGUCGACCACAAUAUUUUACCGUUUGUCCUAUACCAGCCCCUUUUUAUACCGUCCAUUCACACCUUAAUCUUUCAUCCUAAGUUUUCCUUUUAGGGUUUUCUUUGUUUCUGCAGGCAUGGAUAGGCUCUGGGUAGUCUUAUCUAGGGCUUCUUGUUGGUGGGUUUCUUUCAUAAUAUGUCUGUCGAAGGCAAAAGGGCAUGGAUUUUGAAUUCUGAUGUUUUUAAUCCUUCAGGGUCUUUUACAGUUUUCUUUGUUUUUAUGGAUAUGGGUGAAUUUUGUUUAGCUUUAUCUAGGCCAUCUUGUAUCUAUAAAUCCGUGGAAUCAUAAUACUACGACAUUGAUUGCUUGUCGGUAGAAUUAUAUCAAGUUACAAACUUCAACUUGAUCAAAUCGGUUUUCUUGUGAAGAUUAUUGGUAUGCUGUAAAAAGGGUACUUUGGGGUUGGUCAUUGGUGGGGUGGUUUGGGAGGAGAUCUACUGUGGAAAUGAAUUGGGUCGGACCCCGAAGUUCAGUGUUGAGAGACUCGGGUCUGCCUACGAUCAUCAGCACUUGGUUUGGCGAUGAAAUGGACAUGCACCAAAGUGAAUAUAUACGAGUAAGUGCUGAUUAAGAAUGAAAAGAUGAGUCCUUUGUUUUUAGUGCAAAUGGUGGCAGCACCUUUAUAGAAAGAUUGUGACUGCAGAUAAGCAUCUUCGAGGUUUUCAUCCCAUCCACACCUCACAUUUACAAAGUCAUUGUGAUUUGUCUUACACUUGGUCUCUUCUUAUUAUGCCUCUAUCUGGUAGAAAUCAAAAUGAAAAUUUUAAUUUAAAUCAAAGCCAACAAUUAAUUUUAACUAGUUAUGAAAUUCACAACUUUUCAAUCAUAUAUUUUUCAACAAUUUUUUAUCAAAAUCUACUGAAAAUUUUAUUUUAAUUUUGAUCAAACGUGUCUAUAUGUGUAUUCCUCAUAGUGGACUUCUAUUUAGACAUACAUUGCUGAAUUGUACCAAAUUUUUGGCUAUCUACCCAUUAAUGGGCUCAACGUUAGUAGGGCUACAACUUGCUAUGUGAAGGUAGACAAAGCUACCCAUGCUUGGUCCGGAAAGAAGACAUCUUUUUGUUGAUUUUGUUCGAGGGUCCUUUUUAUUCUAAUGGCCUGUCCCCAAAUUUAGUUAGGUUGAUUUGGGUCGUGGACUGACCCAACUAAAGAGAAGAGUCAUGCUAGUCGUGACUUUUCACGAACUUAGCUCAUUGAAGUGUUAGUUGCUUUGAAUGGAAACUCCGGUAAAUAGCGGUAGUAACUCUAAUUGUAUUAUUAAAAAAAUGAAGAAAAUAGCUAUUGGGUACAGUGAAUUGCCCAUCCCGACACAAUCGGUGUCGAGCUUUUAUUCUUUAUUUCUUGAAGGACUAAACCAAGUGUGGCUGCCAAAAUCGCAAGCCAUGCUAGGAAGCUAUAACUAUGUUAGAAUUUUUAUUCAAACUAUGAACUUAUAUAUCAGGAUUCAAGCACAUACGUCCACUCGCAUUGAACUAUAAGAAAAAUUGAGAUACAUUCUUAUCUCUUAUUGGUUAUGGGAUAACCCUUGUUCUAAUAUCAUUAUCUAAAAUGAGUGGAUCCUAUGAAAUUGAAAAUGAUAAGUGAAUUUCAAAUUGAGAAAAGCUAAAAAAAUAUGGUUAAAAACAGGGUUAAAAACAAGGGAGGAUACAUGUCGAAGCAUGAAUGGAUAGUUUGAAUUUUUUUUUAAAAAAAAAAAAAAAAAAAAAGACACCAACAAAGUGUUGUUAACUCAAUCUGUCCUCACUUUCAAUAUUUUUAACCCUGUUCAGCCAUCAUUUCCCUUUCAUAUUGAUCUUGAUUAUACGAGAUUUAACAUUCAAUCAAGAAAUUCAACACUGAUGGGGCCAUCAAAAUUUGAUUGAUUUUAAAUCCUUAAAACCGCCGAAUGUCAAUUAUCCACACCCUUGCAAAGGUAAAACAAGUUACAACAUUGAUUGCUUGUCGGUAGAAUUAUAUCAAGUUACAAACUUCAACUUGAUUAAAUCGGUUUUCUUGCGAAGAUUAUUGGUAUGCUGUAAAAAGGGUACUUUGGGGUUGGUGGGGUGGUUUUGGAGGAGUACCGUGGAAAUGAAUUGGGUCGGACCCAAAGUUCAGUGUUGAG